GAUGAACGCUGGCGGCGUGCCUAAUACAUGCAAGUCGAGCGAACGGACGAGAAGCUUGCUUCUCUGAUGUUAGCGGCGGACGGGUGAGUAACACGUGGAUAACCUACCUAUAAGACUGGGAUAACUUCGGGAAACCGUAUCUAAUACCGGAUAAUAUUUUGAACCGCAUGGUUCAAAAGUGAAAGACGGUCUUGCUGUCACUUAUAGAUGGAUCCGCGCUGCAUUAGCUAGUUGGUAAGGUAACGGCUUACCAAGGCAACGAUGCAUAGCCGACCUGAGAGGGUGAUCGGCCAAACUGGAACUGAGACACGGUCCAGACUCCUACGGGAGGCAGCAGUAGGGAAUCUUCCGCAAUGGGCGAAAGCCUGACGGAGCAACGCCGCGUGAGUGAUGAAGGUCUUCGGAUCGUAAAACUCUGUUAUUAGGGAAGAACAUAUGUGUAAGUAACUGUGCACAUCUUGACGGUACCUAAUCAGAAAGCCACGGCUAACUACGUG
RNAcentral lists this ribosomal RNA (497 nucleotides) under uncultured bacterium. RNAcentral's name for it is "partial 16S ribosomal RNA". It matches the Rfam family "Bacterial small subunit ribosomal RNA", at positions 28 to 507 of the family's 1533-position model. The record is from RNAcentral.